Molecule: long non-coding RNA, 3331 nt
Organism: Pezoporus flaviventris
Lineage: Eukaryota; Metazoa; Chordata; Aves; Psittaciformes; Psittacidae
Exons: 2
Source: RefSeq, a predicted model, not a curated record
AACCAACCAAGAAAAAUAAAACAAAACCAAAUCACGAACCCUAGGUCUUUAUUUACAGUAUUUUAUGUUGUAUUUGAAAAUAUAUUUGCUUCAGUUUCUGCAGAUUUUUAAGUCUACAGUCAGGAUCAGUAACAGGCACUAUACUAAAAGGUAUCAAAACAGCCCUGAAUUCACUGACUGAACUCCCAGUGCUGCAAGGCUGUUUGUACAGGCAGACAUUUGCGCCAGCAGUAAGAUUGUUGCAAGAUUGUGUCCUUAGAUGAGAAGUAAUAUGUAAAAGAAAAUAAAAGAAAGUAACCAGUGAAAUAUAAAAGGUCUUACCAUACAUUUGUUUCUAAUGUUAAUGUAAAUAUAUUAAGAUGUUCAUGGAAUCUAAAGGGCUACAUUUUUGGCUUCGGCACAGCAAGCUGUUUUAUGUAUGAGCUGUAUGUAAUUAUAUUGAAAACAAACUUUGCUUCAAGAACGUUUUUGGCUCCACUGUGCAAUAACACAAAGGGCCUUUGUUAUGCUUUCAGCAGAGUUAUUUAUGGAUUGCAGAGGACUUACUAAAGGACAGUUUCAUCUGAUGGUAUUCAUCCACUGACUCAGAUUUAAAUGUAGUGACUUAUAUUCAUACAAAUCAUAAUUACAAGUAUGAUCAAGCAGACAAAGAUUUCUGAAACUAGAAAUGGGACUGCUGUACAGAUCCAGACCUGGAACAGCAGUACAGAGUGGUGUUUCAGAUCCAGAGCUUUACAGAGUGGGGUUUCAGAUCCAGAGCUUUAAAUGAGCCAGAAUGGAAAAUGCGACAAAAGGCUUUGCAUAAUUCACAUCAAUUAUAAUCAUCUUCAGUUGAAUUGAAAAUGAGGCUCUUGGUUGCUUAAAUGACAAAAAAUGUCAUGGAGAGCAGAGGGAGCUAACUCAGUGUUGAGAAGAAUGGAAUGCCAGGGCAAAGUGAGUUUGUGAAGAUCUGCCAGAAGCUCCAACAGGACCUUACAAAGCUGGGUGAGGGGACUGUGCUUUCCUCUGACUCACCUAAAACAGCCCUUACAUUAAAUGAUCACUUUCAGAAUCCUGCUUUCUGCCAAAUUUUUCCUGCAUGACCUGUGGGACUUGGGAAGCAUCCAAUGUCAGCUUUCUGCUCUGCUUCAAACUCAGCAUGACCAUGGAGAAGUUCAGACCACUUGCUGUCGGUACAAGCCUUUGGUUUCACAACUGCUGUGGCAUUCAGGUUUAAGAGUGUGCCGCUCAGCAAUUCAGAGUACUGUUUAUGCAAGAGAGGAAGACCCACCUUCUAGUGGCACCAGUGGAGGAAGUAUUUAUGAUAGUGAAGUUAACUUAAAGAAGCCAGUCUGAAUGUAGCCUCUGUUCAUUCACUUGCUUUGGCUUCCCAGCUAUAAAAUAGGUGUUCAGUAGCCAUUGACCUCACUGGAUUCCUUUAAAAAAUUAAACACUUUAAGAGACUAUGGAGCUGUGAGAUAUUGCAAGAAGGGAGGUUAUAUAAAUGUAAUCCAAUUAUAUAAGCUUCCUCAGAUGAAUUGCACUUUCAUUAACAUAGCAAUCUUCUACAUCCUUGUUGUUUAUUUGUCAUAUUAGUGGUUGCAGAGACUAGAUGGUAUUUCUGAUGAUGAAUCCCAAUCUUAUUUUCUUUACUUGGUGAAGAGUUUUGGUUUGGUCAUGCAAACAGCUUGCAGGUCGCAUUGACUCCAUGUGCAGCUGCAAACACUGAAUGCUUCUGAAUUCAGGGCCUAUUUUCUGAAGAAUUUCACGAUUUUUUUAUUAUAGCAUCUCCGUCCUUGACAUUUCCAGGAUCCACUGUGACCUAGCCACUUACCAUCUAACUCAAAGUUCUUUGUCACCCUAUGGGAAAUGACAGUAAAAACUGUAUGGAUGGAAGAAGGUAUAUGUAGUAGGGCCAGGAAAUAUGUAGACCAACUUGACACUGUCAUCAGUUCACUGUUCCUUGACAUCGUGCUGUUCUUUAGUUAUUAAACAAAUAGUUAACUGUAUUAAUUAACUGUUAAUUUAGUUAUUAACCAAAAGAACCCAGAUUCUAAGCAGGUGCUUAUUGUUCUGGGUGAUCGAUGGCAUUGUUCUGCUGUUUCCUUUAGAAACCGCUGAGGGGCAGCAGGUUUUCACAUAGAAAAUAGUGUCUUCCAUGUGUAAGGAAAACUUGAGCUGAAAAGACUUCUCUUCCAAAUGUGGCAGAAGAGCACUGCUGCUUGACCCCAAAGAACAGGACAGUCUUGUUAUUCUUGUUUUUUUCUUGGGUGGAACUGCUCUACUUUUUAAAAUCUGAUUAGUAAUAAAAAUUGAUCAAGAGAUUUUGCAUAACACUACAAAGCUUGCUACCCUGUCUACAAAAAGGCAAAGACUAGCCUACUGGGCUCAACAGGCUUUGUCUCUUUCUAGCACUCUUUCGAUUUGCAACGAGGUAAACUGCAAAGCAGAGCUUAUUUGUUUUGAUCAUUUCCCUCCCAUGUUUCAGUUGUCACUUGAUCUCUUUCUUCAACUGCACUUCAUUUGCAAACGCCUGCAUGUUUGCAAAUGAAUGCUACAAAACACUCUUGAACCACUCAUCGAUAGCUGGUAAAGCUUAUAAUGCUUUUUUUUUGCUCCAUGCAUGGUUGCUGUUACUUUGUUAGUCAUGAGAUAGAAUCAUGCUUCUUCCUAUUCCAAACACAGAUUUCUUCAAUCUGCUUUGAAAUUCAUUUUUUACCAUCCACUCUGAUAGCAUUGAGUCUUGUCACCCAAAUUUGCUUUUCUUUUCAGAUUUACAACUUUACUGGACACAGAAGCUCUGAGAUGAAGUUGACCAAAAUACAUAGAAAAUCCAUCUUUGGAUUCCUAAAGUUAGGGUGCAAUAAAUUACUGUCUCAGGAGUUGUGGAUAUACAGAGGUAGACACCAUCGACCAAACUUAGUGCCAUAAUUCCACAAAAUUGUAUGUAGUGGAGGUUGAUAUCUCAAAUAAAACUUACCCCAGAUAACAUCUCUGUCAAUAAAGUGGAACACAAAGAAAAGGUAAUGAAGAAUUUUUAUAAUAAGGCAAGAUGCUGAAAUAAAUUAAGUAUAAGACAGUAUUGAAGUAGGAUGGGCAGAAUAUUAAGGCAUUGCUGGAUUAAUUGAGAUUAGUUUAUGCUUGAUAUUUUAUAAACUCCAUGGAACAGAACAAGACAGAUCUAUGAAUCCACUUAUUUUAAUGCUUAAGUUAAAAAAUGACACUGAACUUGCCACUGCAUUUGGUUAUAGAGUUGAAAAAGAAGGCAUGAGCUACAGGCUGCUUUAUGAAGAAAUGUGUGAUUUCAGAUGUGGCAGGAUUCUUAGAAAACUCUCCUUUCAAAGGAACGGGG